UUCCACGUCACGUGAUUUCCGGUCUCUCUCUUCUCGAAAGAAACAUGGAUCGGCAACGCAGCCUCUUGCUCAAGCGUUUGAGAUGCAAAAAACGAGCAGCAGACCUGGGAUGAGACGACAUACCCUGCAUUUAGAUGUAAGCCAAUAAAGGGGAGCAUUGGGCAGCAGUGGUGGCCGUGCCCAGGAAUCAUUUUUGGUGAUUUAACCCUCAAUUCCAGCCCUUGAUGCUGAGUGCCAAGCAGAGAGGAUGGCUUUGAAGCCUAUAGUGAGUCUGUUAUUGUCAUCCCCCAGUGGUAACUGAUGAUGUAAGCCAAUAAAGGGGAGCAGUGGGCAGCAGCGGUGGCCGUGCCCAGGAAUCAUUUUUGGUGAUUUAACCCUCAAUUCCAGCCCUUGAUGCUGAGUGCCAAGCAGAGAGGAUGGCUUUGAAGCCUAUAGUGAGUCCGUUAUUGUCAUCCCCCAGUGGUAACUGAUGCACAUGCAAGCGGAUGAUGCACACGAAGCAGUGGAUACCACAUAUCUGGACUUUCAGUUUCAUGUGUGGCCUGAUGUGAGUGGAGACUGGUGCCUUCCUGUGGAUGUGACUGAAACUCUAAAAGAAACGUGAUUGCAAUGGAGUUGAAAUUGAAUAAAAAAAACCUACAUAAUCACA
Molecule: long non-coding RNA, 649 nt
Organism: Nerophis lumbriciformis (worm pipefish)
Lineage: Eukaryota; Metazoa; Chordata; Actinopteri; Syngnathiformes; Syngnathidae
Source: RefSeq, a predicted model, not a curated record